GGAUUCUUGCAGUUUUUUCCAAGGAUCAGAUCAAGAGCUUGUAUCACGGUCUACUCAAUAGAACAAUCCGCUCCAAUAGGAUGUUCCUAUGACAGCAGCCAUCCGCGUCAGUUAAUUUGCAACAGCACUUAAAAAUCUUUGAGCUACUGAGGGUCACUGAGGAGGUCACAGGUGUAGGAGCGUGGAUAAAGACAGGGGAGAUAAAACUCCUGGAUUUUGUGUUCGAUGUUAUUCUCCCAGAGGUAAGAUGGUCAGUGGAAGGAAAUUAUUGGGUUAUUGUGGUCAAUAUGUUAUUCCUUUGGAAAACAUGAAUAUAAAACAAAGUAGGAUUGAAUCAUUUACU
Molecule: long non-coding RNA, 343 nt
Organism: Acanthopagrus latus (yellowfin seabream)
Lineage: Eukaryota; Metazoa; Chordata; Actinopteri; Spariformes; Sparidae
Exons: 3
Source: RefSeq, a predicted model, not a curated record